RNAcentral lists this long non-coding RNA (1320 nucleotides) under Nicotiana benthamiana. RNAcentral's name for it is "long non-coding RNA (NBEN_LNC036455)". The record is from RNAcentral. Lineage: Eukaryota; Viridiplantae; Streptophyta; Magnoliopsida; Solanales; Solanaceae.
CCUAAGCAUAGAUUACCCAAGGGGGGUAGAACGUAAGAACUAGGAGUAAGUGCAAAGUGCGGGAGGAACAUCAGCAGGAGGUGGUCAUACCAGGCCAUGGUAUAGACUGGCACACCCCUGACCCCUUGCUUAGAUUCAAACAAAUAAGAGCAGACUCUUAGAGGGUCAAACUUAAGAUUGAAUGGUGAUUAGGACACCAACACACCCAAAUUAAUGCUCAGCACAUAAGGGGGAGAGGGAAUGGGAAUGGGAAAGCAAUUGAAUAAAGACUCAGGGAAGUCUAGUUCUGGAUCACAAACAGCAAUUCCAAAUGCUGCCAUGAUUCAGGACAAUACCCACAUACAAAGGGUAUAGAUGGAAGGGAAUAAAAACAUAACGUAUUGAAAGCAUACAGAGGCAUAGCAUGCUUGAAUAUAAUCACGUAAUGCAGGAAAGCAUAAGUACACAAACAAGGAAAGAAAUCUAGAAGAGGAGGAGCUGAACACAUAACAAAGAGGGUGCUAUUUAACUAGAAGAACAUACCAGUUGCAAGCUUAGAACAGCAGAAUAGCAACAGCAAACAAACAGCCAGGCAGUCAACAGGAACAAACUCAAGGAACUUCAACAAGUACUUGGGAGUUCAGAGAAACUCCACGAGAUUCUGACAGCAUGAGAGAAAGGAGGAGAGUGCUCAGCAGUAGUAGAGAAAAUAGAGAGUAGUACUAGUAGUACAGAGUGGGGAGUAAAGUGUAGUAGUAGUAAUAUAUUAUAAAGGUGCAUAAAGAAUUUGUGAGAAUGUGUUCGAGUGAUUGUGUAAAGCUGCAUGUGAAACUUUUGUCCGUCAGAACUUGUGAGAGCUGUGUGCUUUUAUAGUGCAGAAACGAGUAGACAAGAAAGCAAGUAAAUAAAAUAUCUCUUACUCAAAGGGAUUUGAUUUCAAACGGGAGUGGUAAUUAAGGAAGGCUAAAACCUUUCAGGGUAACACAAUAAAGGGUUGGUUCAUACAUAAUCUACUUAAGGUAGGAAACUAUAGUACACGUUUUUGAAAGAAUAAGGAGAUACAAUAAUCAAAUAGUCAGAAAUUCAAAAAACCUUGAAUGAACUUAGUCAGAAAAAUAGGGAAAAUAUUGAGGUUUAAAAAUCAGUAGCAAAUUAAUCGAGCCUUAGUAAAAGGGGAUUGAGAUUAGUCACAAACUAAUAGAAUCAAUUCACAAGAAAACCCCCUCAUAUAUAAGCAUGCUAACAUCAAGAAAAGAAGAAGAGAUCGGCAUUAACAGUUUUUGAAUCAUAAGCAAAAGAAAAGUAAGUUCCAAUUCAGUCUAUGAACUCAACAUGAGUUUG